GAUCUUCUCCUUCAUGGGAGAUGAUUGAAAGAUGGUUUCGGCUAUCACUUACAGAUGGGCCCGCGGUGCAUUAGCUAGUUGGUGAGGUAACGGCUCACCAAGGCAACGAUGCAUAGCCGACCUGAGAGGGUGAUCGGCCACACUGGGACUGAGACACGGCCCAGACUCCUACGGGAGGCAGCAGUAGGGAAUCUUCCGCAAUGGACGAAAGUCUGACGGAGCAACGCCGCGUGAGUGAUGAAGGCUUUCGGGUCGUAAAACUCUGUUGUUAGGGAAGAACAAGUACAAGAGUAACUGCUUGUACCUUGACGGUACCUAACCAGAAAGCCACGGCUAACUACGUGCCAGCAGCCGCGGUAAUACGUAGGUGGCAAGCGUUAUCCGGAAUUAUUGGGCGUAAAGCGCGCGCAGGCGGUUUCUUAAGUCUGAUGUGAAAGCCCACGGCUCAACCGUGGAGGGUCAUUGGAAACUGGGGAACUUGAGUGCAGAAGAGAAAAGCGGAAUUCCACGUGUAGCGGUGAAAUGCGUAGAGAUGUGAGACACAGUGCGAUGCGCUUUUUGGUCUGUACUGACGCU
RNAcentral lists this ribosomal RNA (576 nucleotides) under Priestia megaterium. RNAcentral describes it as "bacterial SSU rRNA". It matches the Rfam family "Bacterial small subunit ribosomal RNA", at positions 173 to 747 of the family's 1533-position model. Lineage: Bacteria; Bacillati; Bacillota; Bacilli; Caryophanales; Bacillaceae. The record is from RNAcentral.